CGGAUUCUAUAUCUAGGUGGCCUAGGUGACUGGAAGGCAUCAUCUGAACAGGUGAAGCUGGGCUUGUGUUCAGUCUACCCUACAGGUGAUGGUGAGAACUGGGUGCACACAUCCUGGGCUCUAUUUAUAGUACUAAAAAAAAAAACCCUCUAUUCCAGUCCUCCCCAUGUACAGAACAAAUGGCGCCCACCUAUCAACUUUCUCCAGAAUCUCGGCGAUGUUGGUCAGCGGCUUCCGGAGGUGGUGCCUCAGGUUGCGCUGCAGCAGGGGUAGGCAGAUGUUCCACUGUGCGGUGCACAGCACGUGGAUGGUCGUGGGAUUACCCAGACGAAUGGCCCGCUGCAGUAUGUUGUCCAGUCUCUUUAUGAUAAUCAGCUGCUCCUGUAAGGGGCACAGUGAAUGACUGGCUGAGGGCUGUGAG
RNAcentral lists this long non-coding RNA (421 nucleotides) under Rattus norvegicus (Norway rat). Its description in RNAcentral is "long non-coding RNA NONRATT001323". The record is from RNAcentral. Lineage: Eukaryota; Metazoa; Chordata; Mammalia; Rodentia; Muridae.